GUCCUGGCAGUAAACGGUGCACGUUUGGUGUAAGCGGAUUCGACCCCGCUUGUGCCGGAGCUAACGCGUUAAACGUGCCGCCUGGGAAGUACGGUCGCAAGAUUAAAACUCAAAGAAAUUGACGGGGGCCCGCACAAGCGGUGGAGUAUGUGGCUUAAUUCGAUGCAACGCGAAGAACCUUACCAGGGUUUGACAUGCACUGUGUCGCAGGUGAAAGCCUGCUAGCCGGGUUAAACCGGCGCUUUGCACAGGUGCUGCAUGGCUGUCGU
Molecule: ribosomal RNA, 269 nt
Filed under: uncultured bacterium
Lineage: Bacteria
Description: partial 16S ribosomal RNA
Rfam family: Bacterial small subunit ribosomal RNA
Source: RNAcentral